AUGCCACUUCCCCUGCCAUCUCUUGUUCCAAACCCAGGGCGAGUGGGGAGAGCCCUAGAGAAACAUGGAGAAGGCAGGGCGAGAGCGCAGCGCGGCGGGGAGCGCGCCCGGGGCGGUCUAGACACGGCAGCGAGCGCCGGAGUAGCUGCAAACGGGUGUGAGCUGGAGCUGCCCCCGGUUCUGCAGAAGAAGGCAGCGCGCCUUCCCCGCGCUAUUGCAAGAACCCUCACCCCGCACGAGGGCAGUGGGAGCAUACAGACCACCUUCGAAACGUACAAAAACAGGAGCUUCUUGGGAAAUGCUCUAGGUGACAAGGGCGAGUCAGAAAUGACGGCGGCCUUUUGGCUAAGCGGAGGGACUCUGCCGGGAACAGCGAGCCCCGGACCGUUUCAGGAGCCCGGCGUGUCGACCUUGAGUCCCCGUGUAGGUGAUUAACGAAUUUUUAAAAAGGCUCCGACCGCAGAGUUCCCUUCAGCUAGUGCGUCCAACAGCAGAUCUUCCAUCGCUUAGCUAAGUCUCCGUGGAAUAAAUACAUACAUACAUACAUGAAUAAUAAAUAAAUAAAUAAAUAAAUAAAUAAAUAAAUAAAUAAAUAAAUAAAUAAAUAAAUAAAUAAAUAAAAAAAACCCGACACUAAACUGAAAACUACAGAGUGAGUCCAUCAAUGGCCAGUCUCGGUCGGGGCACAAAGUGCUGGAGCCCCGAAGCUGCAUUCCGCGCCUCCGGUCCGCGGCUGCGAGGCGGGGGAGGCGGCUUGCGCUGGUGCCUGGUGUAUAAUCGGGUUAAUCCAGGAGACAAAGAAUAAACCAACAGCCCUCCCACCUCACUUCCCGCUCCCCUUCCCCUCCCCCCGCUCCUCUCCGCGUCGCCCCCUCGAGGGGGAACCGAAAAGGGGAGAGAGGUGGGCCGGAGAGCGGAUCCCGAGGAAACUCUCAGAACCUGCGCCUCGUUGUUUUCGUGCCAGCACAGCACUGCGUGGCCCGGGUCGGGCUUGGCCGUUCCCUUCCCCUCCCCCUUUCCCAGGGGCGAGGAGAAAGUGCCCCAGGUCGGGUCCGAGCCCGCGGCUCGUCCUCGCGGCCUCCGGGGAAACCUUCGGGUCGGGGUUUCCGUGCAACUAGGCAGAGUGAGCCGCGGUGCCCGGCGCGGCCCCGGGGGCGCCCCGCGCGCCGGCGCCCGGGCGGCAGGACCGGCCUGGGGACGCGCGGGGCGGCGCGGUUGCCCUUUUGAAUGCCUCCUGCGGCUCGGAGCGCUGGCGGGCGCUGAAGUGUGAGUGAAUGUAGCCCCGCGGAGCCAAUGAGCUGGGACCGGAUGCGAUAUAUCCUCUGGGACAACAACUGCUCUGUUCCGCCUCGGAUCCACAUGACGCCAUUUACUGCUGCCGCGGCCGCCGCAGAGCUCGCUGCCUCCGGAAAGACGAGGGCGCAGGCCAACGGCGAGCCCCCCCGGCCGGGCCCCAGACCCGCCUCCCCCCGCCCCCCCCGCCCCCCGCCCCCCGCGCCCCCGCCGCCCCCGCCUCGGCCUCGCCGCCGCGCCUCCACAACGCCCAGUCUGCAGCGCUGAGAGCCGCGCGGCGCAGCGCGAGCCGAGCAGAGGGGCCGGCGGAGCGCGCAGCGCCCAGGCCCCCGCGCCCGCGCCCGCGCCCGCCCGGCCCGGCCCGCGCCCCCGCGCCGCCUCCGCCUCCGCCUCCGCCUCCGCCUCCGCCUCCGCCUCCGCCCGGCCGCCGCCGCACCGCUUGGCCAUCUGGCUUUAGACUCUCUCCGAGGCGGCUUUCUUUUUCCCCUUCGCUCGUCCGCCGGGAAAGGAGACUAGCCGUUGGCGCUUCGGCCUCCAGUUCAUUGAGAAAAAGGAAAUACUCCGCGUGCGUUUCUAGAAGGGGGGUCGCCCCCAGCCGCGAGCCCCGGAGUGAGUGCUUGCUGCUCAUCGGCUGGGGACUUGGCUCCGGAUUUUCCUCUCCUUUUUUUUCCUCCCGCCGAUUGCUCGGAACUUGGAGCGAAGCAGAGUUUGGAAAGAAGGCGGGGGGGAGGGGGGGGAGUUUGCAUCGGGGCUGGAUUUUAUUUGCACAUCGCAGGAGGCAGCGAAUCCAACGGAGAGGGGUUGGUGCAAAGCCGCGAUCACGGUGAGGCACGUUUGGCUCUUCCCCUCCUGGCGCCUUGGCCGGCGCGUUGUGGGCAACAUGGAGUAGGUGCGGCCGGACCCGGAGAGGGGUCCGUCUCCACUCAGGCCUCCGUUUCUCCAGCCCCGCAGGUUCCCGGCGGGGACCCCGGGGAGCUGCCCGGCCCCGGGCCCGGCCUGGCUCGGCGGGGGCUGCAGCGCGCGGGGUCGGGCGUCCGCAGCCCCAGGACCCCAGGCGCCCGCGCUCUGGGGGGUUGGGGCGGCCGCGGAGUCGGCGCGGAGAGCGGGAGACGGAGGCGGAACACUUUGUGUGUUCCAGGUCCCCGCCGUAGGCGCCCGCAUUUCUAACCUGUUCUUGGGGGGGGGGGGCAAGCCCUGGGCGACAGGGUCCCGGGGCAGGGGCGCCAGCGGGACGGAGGGCGCGCGAGUCGCUCGCCUCCGGGGGCAGCGGGAGCCGCCGGUGAAGCCUGGGCAGGGGCCGGGGCCGGGGCCGGGGCCGGGGAGGGGGGCCGGGCCGGGCCGGGUGCGAGCGUCCCCCUGCCGGGCGCCGGGGCUGCGGUUCGGAAGUGCAGCUUUCUCCUUUUUCCGUUCUCCGCGGUCGGCCUGGGUCACACUUGUUUUAUUUUUGGAAGAUUGGGCGGACCUAGCACAGGAAGAAAGUCCUCGAGCGGUCGCUAUCGUUUUCCAUUACCUGAAAAUAGGUGGCAAAAGAGGUUAGGGUUUUUGGUUUUUUGGUUUUUUGUUUUUUUUAAUUUACUUUGAUGGGCUGAUCUACUUUUUUGUUGCUGUUGCUGCUGCUGCUGCUGCUGCCUUGAAUUCGGAAUCUUGUGCGUUUUUACCAAGCGGUUUCUGGGUCUGCCCCACCCUCGUGCUGAAGUCCUUGCCCCUUAGUCCUUAAGUCCGAUCACACACUUCUUCAUGGGGGUUUCUGAGCACUUUCGGGGUGGGGGGUAGGGGAGCGAGGGGGGUGGGCGGCGGGUGCUCUGGGUGCGAAGGAGGCUAGGAAUGGGCAGUGAUCAUUUUCGAUUAAACACACACACACACACACACACGCACACACACACCACCACCCCUUUCAAAGAUGCUGCUCUGCACUGCGAGCAAAUCUUGGCGGAAAGUUUCCAGCCUAGGGAUCUGCGUCCUGCACGCCCUGUGCAGUGGGGCCCUGGGACUUGACCUUUCUUUAAAAAGCAACUUUCCUUUCACUUUUUUCUCUCCGCCGGAAAGGAGAUGGGGUGUGCAGACUGCAGCCGGUGCCCCCUGGGUCAGUGCCUGGUAGAGUCGCCCAGGGUGCGUGGCUUGUGUGCUCGGUCCCGGCAGCGUGUCUAAGGCAUGGCUUUCGGCGCCAGGGCUUGAACCCUGUGCCGGACGUUCGCUGGCCUUUGCCAGGUGGACCUGCAAGUGGGCUGCGGGACCUCUGGGUGCCUGGGGCCGGGGUGGCUCCCUCCUGGAGCUGGAAGGCAGUUCUCUGGAGUGGGGGGUAUGUUAGCCUGGAGGUGGGCGGGGGAGUGUGCCCCGGCGUUUGCAGGCACGUCCCCUUCGGAGGCGCCCGCACACCCCCCACCCCCGCCCCCGCCCCCGCCUUCUAGUGCGUCUUGAGGUUGUGUGCUGGGGGGAGGGCAGCUGGCCUCUGGGCUGUGUCAGUCUCCCCGGGGAAACGUCCCCCGGGGCUCCGACUGUGUCCCACCUGCUGGGGACGGUGUUGGGACGCAGAUAGAGCCGAUACACGGAGUGAAAGCAAAGAUCGACGUUGUCUUGUCUGCCUUUCUGUUGGGAGAUCCGGUUUCCAGCUCUACCUUCUUCCGAGUUGGGAGGCGUGUGUCACCUGCCUGUGUCUCUUAACAAAAAUCGGAGACUGGAUAAAGGUCCACUUUUGCCCGUUUUUGUUCAUUGUAGACUUGGCAAAGGGGUGUGUGUGUGUGUGUGUGUGUGUGUGUAUGAUAGUUGUGAAAUUUACAGAGGGAUUGCAAUUUAAGUGAUUACACGUCAGAAUGAUAGAUUUGAGACGUGACAAGAAUUUUUGAAACCCUUCCUGUUAUCCCCAGUCAGUUCAGGUUCUGAACUAUUAGGAUUUUUGACAUAAUUUAUUUCUAAAACCGGGAGAACGAGUCUUUUACAGUCUUUUAGCUGCAGAAUUAAAGAUACUCUCUCAGGCUAUCAAACUGUAAAGUAUUUGAUCCUCAGGUUGUUGAGCAUUUGAAAAUAAGUUUCUGUCUUGUUGCUGGUUGGUUUGUGUUCCUGGCACACCUAACAGGAUUUGAAUGGAUUUGUGUUUCAUUUAAAACUUUUGCUACUAUAUAGUUAAUAAUGUUUGACUGUUGUAAAAUUUGUAACUUCCUUGGAGGGGCGAGUAUUUGCUUUUUUGCAAGUCGCAUUCAUUCUACGGUAUUCUAAAAAGCUGCAGAAUACUGGAUGAAUUAUAGUUAAAGGUAUUUGAUGUAAAAGCAGACAAGAAAGACUUUCUAUUUCUAGGCUGCAUUUAUUGCUGUUUAAGGCAAAAAUGCCCACGACAAAGUUAAACCUAUCUCAGAUUUUGAAAAAGUUUUCAACUUUCGCAUAUGUUGGCAGCAGUGUUCUGUUCUAACGUUAUAUUCCUGCAGCCUUCACAUUGAACAUGAACCUUGCAAUUUUAUGUUUAUUUGAAUAAGGAAUCGUUACCUAUGUGAUUGAACCAAGAUCAGCUUUGUGUCUCUACACAUCGCAAGAUUAAAGAAUCGUCAGUACCCGGCUUUAAUUUUUUUACUUUUUGGUGUGGCGUUGAUCCUAUGGCUCUUCCACCACCCUCCGUGAGCAACUCCCAUUUCAAAUCCUGUCUCUCUGGGGGAAUGGAAAGGAAAGAGUUAAUUCAGGUGGGCGGAGAGUGGGAAGUAUCCUGGAGUGUAAACCAGCUCUUUCCUCUUGGUUUCUGCAGGAAUUCAGAUGUGUUCUAAGCCCGCUGGAGU
This 5054-nucleotide long non-coding RNA is filed under the name Canis lupus familiaris (dog). RNAcentral's name for it is "lncRNA (ENSCAFG00030004078.1)". The record is from RNAcentral. Lineage: Eukaryota; Metazoa; Chordata; Mammalia; Carnivora; Canidae.